GACGAACCGUGCGAACGUUGUUCGGAAUCACUGGGCUUAAAGGGCGCGUAGGCGGGCGGCCAAGUUCGGGGUGAAAUCCUCCAGCUCAACUGGAGAACGGCCUCGAAUACUGGACGUCUCGAGGGAGGUAGGGGCGUGCGGAACUAUGGGUGGAGCGGUGAAAUGCGUUGAUAUCCAUAGGAACUCCGGUGGCGAAGGCGGCACGCUGGACCUUUUCUGACGCUGAGGCGCGAAAGCCAGGGGAGCAAACGGG
This 253-nucleotide ribosomal RNA is filed under the name uncultured bacterium. RNAcentral's name for it is "partial 16S ribosomal RNA". It matches the Rfam family "Bacterial small subunit ribosomal RNA", at positions 524 to 776 of the family's 1533-position model. The record is from RNAcentral.